RNAcentral lists this ribosomal RNA (438 nucleotides) under Triticum aestivum (bread wheat). RNAcentral describes it as "partial small subunit ribosomal RNA". The record is from RNAcentral. Lineage: Eukaryota; Viridiplantae; Streptophyta; Magnoliopsida; Poales; Poaceae.
AUGGCCACAGAGAGGGAAAUUCUGACACCUUUAAGAUUACGGGUGGCUCGGCUGAGAUCUAGUUUCUACGCUGACGAUGCGGCUCUCUUCAUUAACCCGGUGCCCCAAGACUUUGCUGUUUUCCAGGCUAUCCUUAAGGCUUUUGGGGAUGCCUCUGGGCUCUGUGCCAACAUUGAGAAGACAGUGGCGUAUCCCAUUUCUUGCUCUGGAAUCGAUAUUCAAAAUCUGAUGGCUGCUUUUCGCGGGGUGCAGGGAAGCUUCCCAUGCCAAUAUCUUGGCCUCCCACUUGGGUUUCGAAAGCCACGAAGAGCGGAAUUACAACCGGUUCUAGACAAAGUCGCGGGUAAGCUGGCUCCUAGGAAGGGAAGGAUGCUGAACAGGACGGAAGACUACUGUACAUCAAUUCAGUGGUUACGGCCACUGCCACCUUCUUCCUGA